CCAAUGAGCCGCCGGAUCCCCUAGUGAGGAGGCCGGGACCGCCGGAUCCGGUGACCCCGGUCUCCUCGCCGGCGGAUCCGGCGCCCAGA
Molecule: non-coding RNA, 89 nt
Organism: Oryza glaberrima (African rice)
Lineage: Eukaryota; Viridiplantae; Streptophyta; Magnoliopsida; Poales; Poaceae
Source: Rfam